This 253-nucleotide ribosomal RNA is filed under the name uncultured bacterium. RNAcentral's name for it is "partial 16S ribosomal RNA". It matches the Rfam family "Bacterial small subunit ribosomal RNA", at positions 524 to 776 of the family's 1533-position model. The record is from RNAcentral.
UACAGAGGUCCCGAGCGUUGUUCGGAUUUAUUGGGCGUAAAGGGUGCGUAGGCGGCGGAGUAAGUUGGGUGUGAAAUUUCGGAGCUUAACUCCGAAACUGCAUUCGAUACUGCGGUGCUUGAGGACUGGAGAGGAGACUGGAAUUCAUGGUGUAGCAGUGAAAUGCGUAGAGAUCAUGAGGAAGACCAGUGGCGAAGGCGGGUCUCUGGACAGUUCCUGACACUGAGGCACGAAGGCCAGGGGAGCAAACGGG